RNAcentral lists this long non-coding RNA (874 nucleotides) under Gossypium barbadense (sea-island cotton). RNAcentral's name for it is "long non-coding RNA (GBAR_LNC014688)". Lineage: Eukaryota; Viridiplantae; Streptophyta; Magnoliopsida; Malvales; Malvaceae. The record is from RNAcentral.
AAAUCUCAUUUACCCUUUUUUCUUUCUCUGAAAGUUUUUUAGGUUGACCAUGGUAGCUGCCGUUACUCCGCCGCAACCACCAGUCAUCGGCGACGGCGGCCGUCGUCCCCGGUGGUUAGAGUUCAUGAAAAAGGCUCAUUUUAGCCGUUUUAUUUCCCUCAACCCCAAUCUGAGGCCAAAAUAAUCAAAAAAACCCACCAAAAUUUGAGAAAAAUCAAAGGAACCUGUAGUGCCCAUUUUUGCCUGGAAGCCCAAACCCAGUUACAAACCAAACAACAACCCAAGCCCAAUUAAUAACCCUAAGCCCAAAUACAAACAUAACCCCAGCCCAAAAUUAACCCCAUUCAGCAGAGAUGCAAACCCUAAGGCGCGCCAUACGUUCUGCCAGCCACCUACGUCGCACGCCUUCGCAACUGCCGCUGCUCGCCUAUCACCGGCCGUCAAAAAUAGAAGUUUAGGGAUUUUAGAAUCGGUUAUAUAAGCCGAAUACAAGCACUGUAAUUUUUUCUGGCUUUUCUUACGAAUUUAGAAAUAAAAAAGCAAAAACUAAGGUGAUUUCCUGUUUUUUUUUAUUUCAAUCUUUCCUUUUUCUUUAUUUUCAUUAUUGUUUUUUUUAAACCAAAAUAAAAAAGAAAAAGACCUACCUGGGGUUGCCUGCGAGGUCCGUCGCCGGAGCCAUUUCGGUUGCCAAAAUCGAACGAAGAGGGUGGCGUCUGGGGUUUCUUCCCACGACCCUAGGACCAUGAAGGCUCGACCUUCAGUCGGUCCUUGAAGCGGGGUUAAAAACCCAGAUUUCUGCUGCUCCGGCCACCGCCUACGGCGGGGUCACGGUGGCACAUGCGACGGCCCUAUUGGUCGGAUUUGAGGCUGGGAG